RNAcentral lists this long non-coding RNA (547 nucleotides) under Phoenix dactylifera (date palm). RNAcentral's name for it is "long non-coding RNA (PDAC_LNC002349)". The record is from RNAcentral. Lineage: Eukaryota; Viridiplantae; Streptophyta; Magnoliopsida; Arecales; Arecaceae.
GGAGAUGGAGCACGGCCACCCAUCGCGGAGCGGCAGAACCGGCCGAAGCCGGUGGUGCACGCCGACACCUGCGGUCGGCCCGACGGUGUCACGACGGCCACAACGGGAAGAUCCCCCUUCGGCUCGUCUGCUCCGACCACCUCCGGUCUAGAUCAAGCCGGUUCCACCCAUGGGAACCGGACUUGCACGAGCCGAGGACCCUCCCCAUGAAUCGAGAGGUAGGUUCAUCUUUGGAUUUUUAGAUCUAGGGUUUUAAUGGAAAGGGAAACCACCAUCGGAUGAAGGAGAAAGGUCCUCGGCCAAUGUCGGAUCACAGCCGAUCAUUGCAUAAACCUUUAUCCUCCCUCCUCUUCAUCUUCUUCCCACCCCUAUUCCUCUGUUAAUCAUCUCCUAGCUAGAAUAGAUCUAACCUAAUAGCAUGUAGAUCAUGAAUGGGGAAUGAGUUAAGGGUUUACCUAGCUCCGAGGAGCUGUGAAGUAUUUCCGGCGACUACUGUGCCUGCUCCGGCGGCACAAGGUGAUGACAAGCUGGAGAUCCUCCCUCCUCC